GAGUGGUCCCUGCAGAGGCCUCCAGGCUGCCGGAUGCCUCUGCUUGUACUUCCUCCAGCUCGACGAGCAGAACUUGUCUUGAGUGGCUGCUCAUCCCAGAAUGAUGCCGGGGGAGCCCCCCUGAACCCAGCCUGCAGCCUCGAGACAAUCUCAGCAGACCCCAAAGACCGUGAGUAAGGAAAAUAAAUGUUGGCAGGAUUUGGCUAACUUUUUUUUUAAAGGACCGGUUAGUAAUUGUUUUAGGCGGUGAAGGCCACAGUCUGUUGCAACUCUGCCCUUGUGGUGCAAAAGCAGCCGCAGACAUUUGGUAAGCAAAUGAAUGUGGCUGUCUAAUCAAAUUCUAUUUAUGGAUGCUGAGAUUUGAAUGUCACACAAGUCUCUCAGGUCAUGAAAUAUUUCUCUUUAAAAAACCUUUCCCCCCCCCCAUUUAAAAACACAACUAUUCUUAGCUUGUGAGCCACAGAAAAACAGGUGGUGGUCUAGGUUUGGCCGCUGGCCAUUGUUUGCCCACCCCUGCAGUGAGUCACUGACAUCUGUAGGAUUUCUUUGUUAAACACCAAAACUGAUUAAUGCACCCUUCUCAUGGCACAGUCUUGAACAAAACACUUAUCCCCCCUAAAUCUCAAUUUUUUUUUAACAUAAGAUGGAGGUAAAAAUAUAUUUCUCUCAGGGUAAAUGAAAUAAUGUAUAGGAAUUGCUCUGAUGACAAGUGCUCAGUCUAUAAUGAUUUUAUUCUAUGAUUCCCGUAGAAUGUGGGGCUGUUUGACUCCCGGGCGACCAAAAAACAGGCUCCAAGAAGAGGCCUCUUACAGACGGACGGGCCCACAGGGAGAGGCCCAGUUGCCCCACCCAGCUGGUGCAUGCUGGGAAAUGUCCUGUCCUCUCCCAGGACAGAUGGGGUGGGUGUGGGGCAGGCAGGGAGAAGGUGUACCUGGAGAGUUUGGCCUGGGUGCUCUCAGUAGGGUGGGUUGUGAACAUAGAAACUGGAGUCUGCUUCCCGCCUGGCACUCUGAGGGCAGGAAUCUGGCCAGAGCAGCUGGUGGUAGCUGGAAAAGUGGGGACUGUGAUGUAAUUGCCCUGGAAGAAAGGAUAGGGACCCCCAACCCACGUCUUCCGAUACUUGGGAGGCAUUGUAGAGGGCUCACUGACGCUGCGGCUCUGUGUGAAUGACCUGACACGGAGGAGAGGCGGGAGCUGUGGACUGUGAGGACUGCCCUCAAGCGAGGGGACGCCCCACCAGGGGUCAGGGGCUUGAGCCACUCGCAGGGCCUGAAGGAGACACGGGCAUUCCUUUCCGAGAGGUUCCUCCAUGGGGGAAAUGUCCAGCGUAAGUCGGAACAUCACCCCAGGGAACUGGGAGGGCAAUGGCCUGGCAUCUCCACGGAGGCUAGAGGGACGCAGACCAAGCCAGCGAGAGAUGGGCGGCGAACCAUUCAUGUCCAGCUCAGAGCCCCAGAGGGGCCGGGGUGGGAGACUGAGGCCUGGGAACUUCGAGCCGGACACGAGGCAGCAGGUUAACACCGGAAUGGCUUCUAAUAACUAAAAGUGAUGGGAAAAUAGUGAGACCUGCCUGAGACAUUGGUAGGAGCUGGAAAGUGACAUGUGGUAGAGUGCAGCAGAAGGCAUCAGUUAGAGAAAACAGAAAGCCAGUUACAUGUACGGCACCUGGGUGUGAGACUGCCCAACGACCCGGCUAGGCGCCUUGUCCUCAGGCCCUCCCCUCCACCCCAUCUACCCUGCCAGUGGGGACCUGUUACAAGCUGGUUCCACCCUUCUGCUUAAGGAAGGAAGGAAAAGGGGCGAGGGACGAGGAGAGAGAAAGAAAGAAAUCCUUUCCUGAAUGGCUUGAUGGCUGCUUGCAAGGACUCACGGAGGCCCAGCGAGCACCGGCCAUGGCCAGGAACCCCUGAGUUAGGUGUGACUGUGGCUUCCUUCCCUAGAAGGUGAUUUUACUUCAGGUCAUGAUCUCCGUGGGUUAUAAAACCAUGGAAACUCAGCCAAGAGGACAGUUUACACUUCUGAGAACAAAUGAACCAGACGCACCCUUCCUUUCUGGGCCCUUUCCCGGCUUUGCACUUUAAAAUUUCCUGCAUGGCACUUGAGACCCGGUUUGAAAUUCACCUCCUCUGGCCACACAGUUUCCCAGGAACUGAGGCCCAGCCCUACCUCCUGGGGGUGAGGCCCCCCCACCCACUGCCACCACCACCAGCCUGCUUGAAAUGCACAGUAAGUUACACAAAGCAAAGACCUAUUUUUGCCUUCCUAAAUCUGUUGACUUGGACUUAUACCCACCACACUCAGAAAGCAUUGGCAACUUCAAGAAUUCAAAAAUAGCCAUCCAGGUUCGCUUCCCGUGCUUUCAUGGUUUCGUUUUUCACAUUGAUGUCUGUGAUGCAAUGCAGUGAACUUUGGUGUAAGGAGGGAGGCACGAGGCAUGAUUUGGAAACACACUGUGUUGCCCUCCAUCGGGGAAGGCCAACAUUCUCAGCUUUCUCCAUUCUGCACCCUCCAGAGUGGGUUCGCGUGGGUGACACGUCGUGCGGGCCCGAGAGGGGGGCACAGCGGGAGGGAGGUUGUCCUCACAAACAGUGGAGUGGGCUGGAGGCGCGGCAGUUCCAAGGACAGUACCAGAAAGAGAAGACCAGGAGUUAAGAACUGAACUCAGGGUGCUGCCUAGUGUAGGAAGUAGACAUGGGGGGCCUUCAUGAUAGCAGGCGGGUUAGUGAGAGAGCCAGGAGAAGACUUGAGAAGACUGUAGAGGUAGUUUGGCCAAAUAGUCCUUAGGAGGACAGCCCGAUGAGCUGGAAUUGUUUCUGCUGCACCAUCAACAUUUUGGGGGCAGCCCAUUGCGGAAGCGAGAGCGAGGGCUCGGGGUCUGACACCCUGCCUCGUCCUAGCCUCGCUGUGUGACCUUCCUCCGAAGCCUCCAUUCCUUCCUUUGUAAAGAGAAACAGCCCCGCAUCUCCUGGUUGUUCCAAGGACCUUGUGAGACCAUCUGUGAAGGUCCCUGCACAGCGGCCACGGCCUGGCAGAGGCUGAUAUGUUAAUUCUUCUUCCCUGCCCUCUUCCUUCGAUUCCGUAAGAGGCAAGCAGUGACUGAGGACCCGAGGGUGCGCACAUUUCUUCAGGUGAAAAAGGUGCCCAUGCCUGAGACUGCUUCUCCACAGGCCGUGGCCCCAGGGGGUGCCUUUCUCUCACUGCCCGCAGGGCCUGAGUGGUGCCUGGGUCCCUGGAGCUCAGACCGUCCUGGGGCAGACAGCCUGAGACUAACCUCUCCAUCUCUGUCAGCCUGUCCUGGAAAUUGUUAUUUGGCUUUACGGGGCAGAGAUGAGGAAGACAGGAACCUUAUGAAAGAUUACAUGGAAAGAAGGCUCUGUGGAAAAAAUGGUUUGGGCAAUGCUGGUUGACGUGUUCCUCGCAUGGUGUCGCACGCCAUCGUGGGGAGAAGCUGGGAGAUGAUGUCUGGAAGCCCAGACCGGGUCCCUCCAGGACUGGAAGCCCCUUCCCACUGCUGUUUUUAGUCUGUGUCCUCUCACUGUGAUAAGCCAUAACUCUCCUCUCUGGAGAUAGCAAAGCCCCUCACUGAUGAAGCCAAACUGGUUCAGGGUCUCUGUUACCAGAGCUAAAAGUACCAAAACUGAACCACCAAUAAGUGAUGGCCGAAGUGGUGUGAGAGAUGCUCAGUGGAGACUGGUGCAGUGCCUGGUACAGCUCAGGUUUCAAGGUCAGAAGGAAGCCCCAGGAACCAUUUGGCGGUCAGUACGGGCAGUGCUGUGUGCACCUGCUGCAUGCAGCCAUCCCACCACUGCGGACUUUGGUUCACCCUAUGAAUGGAUGCCCUGAGCUGCUGAGAGACUGGAGGGGCGCGGGAUGGCCAGGGGUCUCUCCAAGCUCCUCUAAGCUCCCGUGGAGUGGGUGGAGGAGGUGGGGCUGCUUCCUCACUAAUUUCAUGUGGGGAGACUGCUUUACAGUCUCAAGAAUUAAAAGGGAUUUAUGCUCCUGGUGCAGGGUUUUGGGAGACAAGCCCUCAGUUACUGGAUUAGCACCACCGGGCAGAGACUGACCUACCUUUCCUUAGGGGGCCUGGUGAGCAGGACAGCAGAAUCUCAGAAGCAUUUGGCCACUGUCCAAACCCUGCUCUGUGGCUGCUGGGCCUUCGGUUUCUUUUGGACAUGGUCUAAAAAUAAAAAUAAGAUCCAAAGAUCCUUAGCAAAGGCCAUUCAGCUCCCGCAUCAUGACUGAAGUCCUUUCUCUAAAAAAUACGGGUCCUGAACAAAGCGAGGGGGAGGGAUGGGAGGCUGACGGAGCCUGCGGCCUCCCCCAUGCCCCAUGCCUCAACCACACAGGCCAGAACCUCCGAGAAGUGGGCAGCCAAAAGGAAGAACUAAUUUGACUAUAAAGGGGUAAUUUUGUAAAAGUCAGGCUUGAAAGGAGUCAAUAGUGUGACUUUUUUUUUCAAUUGAGAUAAAAUUCACAUAACAUAAAACAACUAUUUUAAAGUGAACAGUUCAGUGGCAUUUAGCCCAUUCACAAUGCGGUGCAACCACCACCUCUAGCUCCCAAACAUUCUCUUCACCCCAAAAGGAAACCCUGCACCCAUCAGGCAGCUGCCAAUCUCUGUCUCUACAGUUUUACCUAUUCUGGAUAUUUCACAUAAAUGGGAUCAUGCAACAUGUGGCCUUUUC
Non-coding RNA from Manis javanica (Malayan pangolin), 4685 nucleotides. NCBI's taxonomy places the organism in Eukaryota, Metazoa, Chordata, Mammalia, Pholidota, Manidae. The record is from RefSeq and is a predicted model, not a curated record.